Long non-coding RNA from Talpa occidentalis (Iberian mole), 808 nucleotides. RefSeq lists it as uncharacterized. NCBI's taxonomy places the organism in Eukaryota, Metazoa, Chordata, Mammalia, Eulipotyphla, Talpidae. The transcript is spliced from 6 exons. The record is from RefSeq and is a predicted model, not a curated record.
UCAGACACAAGGUAGUGGUGCCCUGAGCUGCUGUGUAAGAUGCUCAACUAACUUCUGAGCUUUCUGCAUUGUGGUAACCUGCUUCUGCCAGAUGUGGCUGACAUCGGUGGCUGGCUGUGAUGAUUCAACCUCCUGUCCUCCUCUAAGAGACAGACGCCUCAAGAAGACUCAGGACACUGAGCAAGGGAGCUGAGUCCUCAACUGGCGUAACUGCAGCCUUUGAACCUCUCUGGAUGGCUGGGAUCAUGUGAACUGGGGUACAGACCAGAUGCCUGGGACGGUGAGAGGAUUCACCAGAGACAGAUCAGGGAACAGAACAGGUAGAAUGACCGAAAUAUAACGAUGAAUGGAGCAGCGGGCGAGACAGGAGGGGUCUGCUCGACAUGUGGGUUCCUCCGCCGCCUGCAGGGAUCGAACCGUCAGUGCAGAGGCUGGGGACAACUUCACAGCGUGCGCUCAACUGGCUGCGCCACCAGGGAGGCCCUGUUCUUGGAAAUUAUAAAUCAUCCCACUGGUCUCCGAACUCAGACUGAAACUACACAUUGAGUUCCCUGGGUCUCCAGCUUGCUGACUACAGAUCUUGAGACUUCUAAGCCUCCAUAAUCAUGGGCUCCUUUACUACAGAUAUCCACCACCUUAUCUAUACUGCUCUCUGAAAAUAAUACCUUUCCUCGGAGUGGAGCCUUCUCUGCAAGACACACCACUCUUCAUUGCACAGUGUAUUUCUUGAACUGAAUCGUUUGAGAAUGGGGGAAAAAAAACAAGAAAAUGGGUGAAUGACUCUGUGAACUGAGAGAGAUGAUUAGUA